AACGCACAUUGCGCUCGCCAGUAUUCUGGCGAGCAUGCCUGUUCGAGCGUCAUUUCAACCAUCAAGCUCUGCUUGCGUUGGGGAUCCGCGGCUGCCCGCGGUCCCUCAAAAACAGUGGCGGGCUCGCUAGUCACACCGAGCGUAGUAACUAAAACCUCGCUAAGGCUGCUCUGCGGGCUCCGGCCGUAAAACCCCCUUCUAACACAAGGUUGACCUCGGAUCAGGUAGGAAUACCCGCUGAACUUAA
Molecule: unclassified non-coding RNA, 247 nt
Filed under: uncultured Sordariales
Lineage: Eukaryota; Fungi; Ascomycota; Sordariomycetes; Sordariales
Description: sequence contains ITS2
Rfam family: 5.8S ribosomal RNA (bases 1-52)
Source: RNAcentral